UAGAAAAGACUCAAGGAUUUGAGCUUGUUU
RNAcentral lists this non-coding RNA (30 nucleotides) under Rattus norvegicus (Norway rat). Lineage: Eukaryota; Metazoa; Chordata; Mammalia; Rodentia; Muridae. The record is from RNAcentral.